GGUGGUAGUAGUAGUGGUAUGGGUAGUAAUGGUAAUGAUAGCAGUUUAGUGAUGGUGGUGGUAGUAGUGGUAUGGGUAGUAAUGGUAAUGAUAGCAGUUUAGUGGUGGUGGUGGUAGUAGUAGUGGUAUGGGUAGUAAUGGUAAUGAUAGCAGUUUAGUGAUGGUGGUGGUAGUAGUAGUGGUAUGGGUAGUAAUGGUAAUGAUAGCAGUUUAGUGAUGUGAGUGGUGGUGGUAGUAGUAGUAGUGGUAUGGGUAGUAAUGGUAAUGAUAGCAGUUUAGUGAUGGUAGUAGUGGUAGUGGUAUGGGUAGUAAUGGUAAUGAUAGCAGUUUAGUGAUGGUGGUGGUAGUAGUAGUGGUAUGGGUAGUAAUGGUAAUGAUAGCAGUUUAGUGAUGGUGGUAGUAGUAGUAGUGGUAUGGGUGGUAAUGGUAAUGAUAGCAGUUUAGUGAUGGUGGUGGUGGUAGUAGUAGUAGUGGUAUGGGUGGUAAUGGUAAUGAUAACAGUUUAGUGAUGGUGGUAGUAGUAGUAGUGGUAUGGGUAGUAAUGGUAAUGAUAGCAGUUUAGUGAUGGUGGUGGUAGUAGUGGUAUGGGUAGUAAUGGUAAUGAUAACAGUUUAGUGAUGGUGGUAGUAGUAGUAGUGGUAUGGGU
Molecule: long non-coding RNA, 646 nt
Filed under: Salmo salar (Atlantic salmon)
Lineage: Eukaryota; Metazoa; Chordata; Actinopteri; Salmoniformes; Salmonidae
Description: lncRNA (ENSSSAG00000083897.1, ENSSSAG00000087420.1)
Source: RNAcentral